RNAcentral lists this microRNA precursor (102 nucleotides) under Eucalyptus globulus. Its description in RNAcentral is "MICRORNA156.1". Lineage: Eukaryota; Viridiplantae; Streptophyta; Magnoliopsida; Myrtales; Myrtaceae. The record is from RNAcentral.
GAGAGAGAGAGAGAGAGAGAGAAAGAGAGUGACAGAAGAGAGUGAGCACACGCAGGCAAUUGUAUGAAGGGCAUGCCUUUGCGGGUGCGUGCUCACUUCUCU